RNAcentral lists this ribosomal RNA (468 nucleotides) under uncultured bacterium. RNAcentral's name for it is "partial 16S ribosomal RNA". It matches the Rfam family "Bacterial small subunit ribosomal RNA", at positions 28 to 507 of the family's 1533-position model. The record is from RNAcentral.
GACGAACGCUGGCGGCGUGCUUAACACAUGCAAGUCGAACGGAAAGGCCCUGCUUUUUUGGUGUGCUCGAUUGGCGAACGCGUGCGUAACACGUGAGUAACCUGCUCUUCACUUUGGUGUAACUUCAGGAAGCUGGGGCUACUACCGGAUCGGAGCUCCUGCUGCAUUGUGGGCGUUGGAAAGUUGCGGCGGGUGGGGAUGGACUCGCGGCUUAUCAGCUUGUUGGUGGGGUAGUGGCUUACCAAGGCUUUGACUGGUAGCCGGCAGGAGAGGGUGACCGGGCACAUUGGGCCUGAGAUACGGCCCAGACUCCUACGGGAGGCAGCAGUGGGGAACAUUGCCCAAUGGGCGGAAGCCGGAUGCAGCAACGCCGCGGGCGGGAUGACGGCCUUCGGGUUGUAAACCGCUUUCGCCUGUGACGAAGCGUGAGUGACGGUAAUGGGUAAAGAAGCACCGGCUAACUACGUG